CAUGCAAGCAGUGCGAAGGCGGCUGGUUCGAUGCUUUGCACUGGCCAGCCCAAUUCGGCCGAUGUGACGGUGAUAAUUUCGGGCGAGACCUGACGCAGAGCAUUUGCAACUGCCUCGCGUAAGACCGGAUUGGCUGCUCCGCCGCCCGCCAGGACUACUCGAUCCGGAAGCGACCCCAGGUGGCGCUCAUAGGAACAGGCGAUUGCUUUCGCGGUGAAGGCGGUAAGAGUUGCGAGCACAUCGAAGGGCGAGAGUCGCGCGCGCGUCAGAUGCGGCAGUUCACGCUGCCAGAAGCUCUCGCCGAAUAGUUCACGUCCGGUGCUUUUUGGGGGCG
This 334-nucleotide unclassified non-coding RNA is filed under the name uncultured fungus. RNAcentral describes it as "sequence contains ITS1". Lineage: Eukaryota; Fungi. The record is from RNAcentral.